AGGAGGAACCCAACGAAAUAAUCUGCCUGGUACCAUCAGAAAACCCAGAGCAGAAACUAGACCUGGCUGAAACCAUCUGCCAGGAGACUCCAGAAACUCCUGAUGUCAACAUUGAACAGGAACCAUCAGAAAAGCCAGAGCAGAAACUGGAGCUGGCUGUAACCAUCUGCCAGGAGACUCCAGAAACUCCUGAGAUCAACAUC
Long non-coding RNA from Xenopus laevis (African clawed frog), 203 nucleotides. RefSeq lists it as uncharacterized. The transcript is spliced from 5 exons. The record is from RefSeq and is a predicted model, not a curated record. Lineage: Eukaryota; Metazoa; Chordata; Amphibia; Anura; Pipidae.